This 628-nucleotide long non-coding RNA is filed under the name Brassica napus (rape). Its description in RNAcentral is "long non-coding RNA (BNAP_LNC021181)". Lineage: Eukaryota; Viridiplantae; Streptophyta; Magnoliopsida; Brassicales; Brassicaceae. The record is from RNAcentral.
GUUUUAAAUAUAUAGUUUCUAUUUUAGUGUUAUAUAUUGUGUAAUUGUGUAAUUAUAUAAUAUCAUUAUUUAUAUUUCUUAUUCGAUAUUAUUUAUACAUAGUGAUUUGUUUAAUAUAUUUUACUUUGCUAUUAUUUUAUUACUUACGAAUAUAUUUUUGAGAUAUGUACAAUAUAUAACAAUCUGAAAUAAUCAAAUAGAAAACCUCCUCCAAAAUAUGUUUUUUUCUUUAAUUUAUACAUUUUGCAUAUAAUACAUUUUUAAAAUUGAUUUGUUUAUAUCAUGGAAAAUAUAUAUGUUUAAGAUAAUUUAAAUUUAGAUGUUGUGUUUAAAAACUAUACUUUAACAUAUUUCAUUUUAGUAUUUUACAAAAUUUAUAAGUAAAAAACACUAUUUUGUUUAAAUAAUUGGGCUUUUUGCAAAUAUGACUCAAAACUUGAAGUCAAACACAAAACCAAUCCAUGUUUUUUUUGGAGCUUUGACUUGCCUCUUUCACCUCCAAAGUUCAGAUAAUUCACGAAAAUGCCAUCACUUUUUUUUUCGAAAAUGCAUAUUUUACUCUAUCACCCUCAUCUUCCUCAAGUAUUCACAAUAUUGUCAUUGCCAUCAAUACACCAACCACUAUGAA